GACGAACGCUGGCGGCGUGCCUAAUACAUGCAAGUUGAGCGCUGAAGGUUGGUUCUUGUACCAACUGGAUGAGCAGCGAACGGGUGAGUAACGCGUGGGGAAUCUGCCUUUGAGCGGGGGACAACAUUUGGAAACGAAUGCUAAUACCGCAUAAAAACUUUAAACACAAGUUUUAAGUUUGAAAGAUGCAAUUGCAUCACUCAAAGAUGAUCCCGCGUUGUAUUAGCUAGUUGGUGAGGUAAAGGCUCACCAAGGCGAUGAUACAUAGCCGACCUGAGAGGGUGAUCGGCCACAUUGGGACUGAGACACGGCCCAAACUCCUACGGGAGGCAGCAGUAGGGAAUCUUCGGCAAUGGACGAAAGUCUGACCGAGCAACGCCGCGUGAGUGAAGAAGGGUGUCGGAUCGUAAAACUCGGUUGGUAGAGAAGAACGUUGGUGAGAGUGGAAAGCUCAUCAAGUGACGGUAACUACCCAGAAAGGGACGGCUAACUACGUG
RNAcentral lists this ribosomal RNA (497 nucleotides) under uncultured bacterium. RNAcentral describes it as "partial 16S ribosomal RNA". It matches the Rfam family "Bacterial small subunit ribosomal RNA", at positions 28 to 507 of the family's 1533-position model. The record is from RNAcentral.